AACGAACGCUGGCGGCAUGCCUAACACAUGCAAGUCGAACGAAAACUUCGGGUGUAGUGGCGCACGGGUGCGUAACGCGUGGGAACAUGCCCUUAGGUUCGGAAUAACUCCCCGAAAGGGGUGCUAAUAGCGGAUAAUGUCUUCGGACCAAAGAUUUAUCGCCUUUGGAUGGUCCCGCGUUGGAUUAGCUAGUUGGUAGAGUAAAAGCCUACCAAGGCGACGAUCCAUAGCUGGUCUGAGAGGCAGAUCAGCCACACUGGGACUGAGACACGGCCCAGACUCCUACGCGAGGCAGCAGUGGGUAAUAUUGGACAAUGGGCGAAAGCCUGAUCCAGCACUGCCGCGUGAGUGAUGAAGGCCUUAGGGUUGUAAAGCUCUUUUACCUGGGAUGAUAAUGACGGUACCGGGAGAAUAAGCUCCGGCUAACUCCGUG
This 433-nucleotide ribosomal RNA is filed under the name uncultured bacterium. RNAcentral's name for it is "partial 16S ribosomal RNA". It matches the Rfam family "Bacterial small subunit ribosomal RNA", at positions 29 to 507 of the family's 1533-position model. The record is from RNAcentral.